CUAUUAUUAUGUAUUAUCCAUGGAUAUAUUGUUGUAAUGUAACCUAGGUAUGAACAUAAUCUUUAAAUAGGUCCCAAAGUACAAGCAAGCGUAUGAUCGAAAUUGUUCUCACACAUGAAUGAUGCGAAGACAUCAAGUAAAGAGAUUCAAAAAAGAAGCUGCAUUUCAACCAUCCAAAAUAGCAACAAGCAUCCGACCAAGUCCUUAUCCACCCAUCCAUCUCAUAAGAAACUAGAAGCCCUACUACAAGUUCUCCAU
RNAcentral lists this long non-coding RNA (258 nucleotides) under Elaeis guineensis (African oil palm). RNAcentral describes it as "long non-coding RNA (EGUI_LNC019806)". Lineage: Eukaryota; Viridiplantae; Streptophyta; Magnoliopsida; Arecales; Arecaceae. The record is from RNAcentral.